ACUCCUACGGGAGGCAGCAGUGGGGAAUCUUGGACAAUGGGGCAAACCCUGAUCCAGCCAUGCCGCGUGAGUGAUGAAGGCCUUAGGGUCGUAAAGCUCUUUCGCCUGUGAAGAUAAUGACGGUAGCAGGUAAAGAAACCCCGGCUAACUCCGUGCCAGCAGCCGCGGUAAUACGGAGGGGGUUAGCGUUGUUCGGAAUUACUGGGGCGUAAAGCGCACGUAGGCGGAUCGGAAAGUUGGGGGUGAAAUCCCCGGGGCUCAACCCCGGAACUGCCUCCAAAACUAUCGGUCUAGAGUUCGAGAGAGGUGAGUGGAAUUCCGAGUGUAGAGGUGAAAUUCGUAGAUAUUCGGAGGAACACCAGUGGCGAAGGCGGCUCAUUGGCUCGAUACUGACGCUGAGGUGCGAAAGUGUGGGGAGCAAACAGGAUUAGAUACCCUGGUAGGACAGUG
This 450-nucleotide ribosomal RNA is filed under the name uncultured bacterium. RNAcentral describes it as "bacterial SSU rRNA". It matches the Rfam family "Bacterial small subunit ribosomal RNA", at positions 335 to 799 of the family's 1533-position model. The record is from RNAcentral.